This 262-nucleotide ribosomal RNA is filed under the name uncultured Staphylococcus sp. Its description in RNAcentral is "partial 16S ribosomal RNA". It matches the Rfam family "Bacterial small subunit ribosomal RNA", at positions 99 to 355 of the family's 1533-position model. The record is from RNAcentral. Lineage: Bacteria; Bacillati; Bacillota; Bacilli; Caryophanales; Staphylococcaceae.
CGGACGGGUGAGUAACACGUGGAUAACCUACCUAUAAGACUGGGAUAACUUCGGGAAACCGGAGCUAAUACCGGAUAAUAUAUUGAACCGCAUGGUUCAAUAGUGAAAGACGGUUUUGCUGUCACUUAUAGAUGGAUCCGCGCCGCAUUAGCUAGUUGGUAAGGUAACGGCUUACCAAGGCAACGAUGCGUAGCCGACCUGAGAGGGUGAUCGGCCACACUGGAACUGAGACACGGUCCAGACUCCUCGGGAGGCAGCAGCA